GACGAACGCUGGCGGCGUGCUUAACACAUGCAAGUCGAACGCUGAAGCUUGGUGCUUGCACUGGGUGGAUGAGUGGCGAACGGGUGAGUAAUACGUGAGUAACCUGCCCUUGACUCUGGGAUAAGCCUGGGAAACUGGGUCUAAUACUGGAUACGACAUGUCACCGCAUGGUGGUGUGUGGAAAGGGUUUUACUGGUUUUGGAUGGGCUCACGGCCUAUCAGCUUGUUGGUGGGGUAAUGGCUCACCAAGGCGACGACGGGUAGCCGGCCUGAGAGGGUGACCGGCCACACUGGGACUGAGACACGGCCCAGACUCCUACGGGAGGCAGCAGUGGGGAAUAUUGCACAAUGGGCGGAAGCCUGAUGCAGCGACGCCGCGUGAGGGAUGACGGCCUUCGGGUUGUAAGCCUCUUUCAGCACGGAAGAAGCGAAAGUGACGGUACGUGCAGAAGAAGCGCCGGCUAACUACGUG
This 472-nucleotide ribosomal RNA is filed under the name uncultured bacterium. Its description in RNAcentral is "partial 16S ribosomal RNA". It matches the Rfam family "Bacterial small subunit ribosomal RNA", at positions 28 to 507 of the family's 1533-position model. The record is from RNAcentral.